UGCAACUGAGCCUUCUGCCAUGACU
RNAcentral lists this unclassified non-coding RNA (25 nucleotides) under Mus musculus (house mouse). RNAcentral describes it as "oocyte_clustered_small_RNA13720". The record is from RNAcentral. Lineage: Eukaryota; Metazoa; Chordata; Mammalia; Rodentia; Muridae.